Small nucleolar RNA from Toxotes jaculatrix (banded archerfish), 137 nucleotides. RefSeq annotates it as small nucleolar RNA SNORA15. NCBI's taxonomy places the organism in Eukaryota, Metazoa, Chordata, Actinopteri, Toxotidae. The transcript has a single exon. The record is from RefSeq and is a predicted model, not a curated record.
GCAUGGCUGAAUUCUGUUCCAGCCUGUCUGUGGUGGAUACAGUCAGACACCAUGCAAAAGUCUUGUCUCAUUUCUACUAACUGACAGGAUGAGCGCUACUCUACGCCUCAUCCAGCUGUACAGGAGUGAGUACAACG